Molecule: ribosomal RNA, 254 nt
Filed under: uncultured bacterium
Lineage: Bacteria
Description: partial 16S ribosomal RNA
Rfam family: Bacterial small subunit ribosomal RNA
Source: RNAcentral
UACGUAGGGGGCAAGCGUUGUCCGGAAUUAUUGGGCGUAAAGGGCGCGUAGGCGGCCACCGCAAGUCGACUGUGAAAUCUCCGGGCUUAACCCGGAAAGGUCAGCCGAUACUGCGGGGCUAGAGUGCAGAAGGGGCAACUGGAAUUCUCGGUGUAGCGGUGAAAUGCGUAGAUAUCGAGAGGAACACCUGCGGCGAAGGCGGGUUGCUGGGCUGAUACUGACGCUGAGGCGCGAAAGCCAGGGGAGCGAACGGG